RNAcentral lists this microRNA (21 nucleotides) under Brachypodium distachyon (stiff brome). RNAcentral's name for it is "bdi-miR7767-3p". Lineage: Eukaryota; Viridiplantae; Streptophyta; Magnoliopsida; Poales; Poaceae. The record is from miRBase by way of RNAcentral.
AGGAGCAAGCAGCUUGAAGGU